CCUACGGGAGGCAGCAGUGAGGAAUAUUGGUCAAUGGACGAGAGUCUGAAGCAGCCAAGUAGCGUGAAGGAUGACUGCCCUAUGGGUUGUAAACUUCUUUUAUAAAGGAAUAAAACGAGGCACGUGUGCCUUUUUGCAUGUACUUUAUGAAUAAUGAUCGGCUAACUCCGUGCCAGCAGCCGUGGUAAUACGGAGGAUGCGAGCGUUAUCCGGAUUUAUUGGGUUUAAAGGGAGCGUAGAUGGGUUGGUAAGUGAGUUGUGAAAGUUUGUGGCUCAACCGUAAAAUUGCAAUUGAUACUGGGAGUCUUGAGUACAGUUGAGGUAGGCGGAAUUCGUGGUGUAGCGGUGAAAUGCUUAGAUAUCACGAAGAACACCGAUUGCGAAGGCAGCUUACUAGACUGUAACUGACAUUGAUGCUCGAAAGUGUGGGUAGCAAACAGGAUUAGAUACCCGAGUAGUC
This 460-nucleotide ribosomal RNA is filed under the name uncultured bacterium. RNAcentral's name for it is "partial 16S ribosomal RNA". It matches the Rfam family "Bacterial small subunit ribosomal RNA", at positions 338 to 795 of the family's 1533-position model. The record is from RNAcentral.